Long non-coding RNA from Mytilus californianus (California mussel), 1017 nucleotides. RefSeq lists it as uncharacterized. The record is from RefSeq and is a predicted model, not a curated record. The transcript is spliced from 4 exons. Lineage: Eukaryota; Metazoa; Mollusca; Bivalvia; Mytilida; Mytilidae.
UUGAUAAUGUCAUAUAUUACAUGAAACUACUGCCUUCAUUCAAACAUUGGGCAUCUUCCCAAAACAAAAAUGAAAACAUUUGAUAGAUUAGCGAUUCAAAGAACUCAAGGACUCAAGGAAGUUAAACCGAAAAACAACUUAUAACCAAUAACUAUCACAUAAGAAAAUGCUUGUAAAUAUGUAAAAAGCGUGUACAUGACAUUUGAAAUAAAUAAAGCGUGUAUUACACAAUUGAAUAGGUAACUAUGGAUACAUGUACUUUUUAUCAUAUAACCAAUUGGAAUGUUACACUUUCAUUUCCCAGUCAAUCAUAUUCAUGUAAUUUUUUAUUCACUCCUUGCAGUGUAAUGCAAGAAAUAUCUCUUAAUGUGAGAAAUAGACAACAUGCUAUAAACAUGAGAAAAUAGAUUUAAUUUUCUAAGGCUUGACACAUUUAUAAAAUGAUCAACAUAGAAUAAAGAAUGGAAACGGGUAAUGUGUCAAAGAGACAACAACCCAACCAAAGAGUAGAAAACAGCCCAAGGCCACCAAUGGGUCUUUAAUGUGCACUAUUAUAUGAUUGUUAUAAGCAAAAAAUAAAUAAGAAUUUAUGUUCUUAUGCCUUCAUUUAUUUUGUAGGCAGAAUUCAGACAGACAGAGAUUCGUCAUUUCAGAUACCAAAUAAAGAAAAUGCUGUUGAGAAACAGGGGAGUUUCUGUGAUUAGAAUGAUACACAAAGAGCAUUUGAGUGUAAUGAAGUUGAGAGUAGUAUUUUAACCAAAAGAACAUCUGCCUUAACAACAGUGAAGGUUUUAGCGAGCAGGUGCUAUUUGGUGAUGUUGAAAGAAAUCCAGGACCUACAAUGGUUUAUCAAGACUAAUCUUAGUGCUUGCCAUUCAAGUGUCAAAGAGUGAAGGGCAAGAAUAAUUUUAAAGAACAGAGAAGACUUGUUUUAUUGCACUUAGUUUUGAGUUUUUGUUUUAUAUUUUACCACUAUGAUAGAGUAAUGUAACAUUCAGGAAAUGUAUUGUUCUGAUA